UGAGACAGUUCGGUCCCUAUCUGCCGUGGGCGCUGGAGAAUUGAGGGGGGCUGCUCCUAGUACGAGAGGACCGGAGUGGACGCAUCACUGGUGUUCGGGUUGUCAUGCCAAUGGCACUGCCCGGUAGCUAAAUGCGGAAGAGAUAAGUGCUGAAAGCAUCUAAGCACGAAACUUGCCCCGAGAUGAGUUCUCCCUGACUCCUUGAGAGUCCUGAAGGAACGUUGAAGACGACGACGUUGAUAGGCCGGGUGUGUAAGCGCAGCGAUGCGUUGAGCUAACCGGUACUAAUGAACCGUGAGGCUUAACCUU
This 309-nucleotide ribosomal RNA is filed under the name Escherichia coli. RNAcentral's name for it is "partial 23S ribosomal RNA". It matches the Rfam family "Bacterial large subunit ribosomal RNA", at positions 2622 to 2925 of the family's 2925-position model. Lineage: Bacteria; Pseudomonadati; Pseudomonadota; Gammaproteobacteria; Enterobacterales; Enterobacteriaceae. The record is from RNAcentral.